UCCGUUAUGGUGUAGUGGCUAACAUUAUCGCCUCUCAUGACUCGCCAGCUAGAUCUUGAACGCGAUAGCCCAGGGUUCGAUUCCCUGUAACGGAA
Non-coding RNA from Marasmius sp. AFHP31, 95 nucleotides. Lineage: Eukaryota; Fungi; Basidiomycota; Agaricomycetes; Agaricales; Marasmiaceae. The record is from the annotation of a GenBank genome assembly.